GAGUUUGAACCUGGCUCAGGACGAACGCUGGCGGCGUGCCUAAUACAUGCAAGUCGAGCGAGCUUGCCUAGAUGAUUUUAGUGCUUGCACUAAAUGAAACUAGAUACAAGCGAGCGGCGGACGGGUGAGUAACACGUGGGUAACCUGCCCAAGAGACUGGGAUAACACCUGGAAACAGAUGCUAAUACCGGAUAACAACACUAGACGCAUGUCUAGAGUUUGAAAGAUGGUUCUGCUAUCACUCUUGGAUGGACCUGCGGUGCAUUAGCUAGUUGGUAAGGUAACGGCUUACCAAGGCAAUGAUGCAUAGCCGAGUUGAGAGACUGAUCGGCCACAUUGGGACUGAGACACGGCCCAAACUCCUACGGGAGGCAGCAGUAGGGAAUCUUCCACAAUGGACGAAAGUCUGAUGGAGCAACGCCGCGUGAGUGAAGAAGGGUUUCGGCUCGUAAAGCUCUGUUGGUAGUGA
Molecule: ribosomal RNA, 469 nt
Filed under: uncultured bacterium
Lineage: Bacteria
Description: bacterial SSU rRNA
Rfam family: Bacterial small subunit ribosomal RNA
Source: RNAcentral